GCAAGAUUAAAACUCAAAGGAAUAGACGGGGACCCGCACAAGCGGUGGAGCAUGUGGUUUAAUUCGACGAUACGCGAAGAACCUUACCUGGCCUUGACAUAGAAAGAACUUACUAGAGAUAGUUUGGUGCUAGCUUGCUAGAACUUUCAUACAGGUGCUGCACGGCUGUCGUCAGCUCGUGUCGUGAGAUGUUGGGUUAAGUCCCGCAACGAGCGCAACCCUCGUGUUUAGUUACUAACAGUUCGGCUGAGGACUCUAGACAGACUGCCUGGGUAACCAGGAGGAAGGUGAGGACGACGUCAAGUCAUCAUGGCCCUUACGGCCAGGGCUACACACGUGCUACAAUGGGGUAUACAAAGAGCCGCAAUACCGUGAGGUGGAGCAAAUCUCAUAAAAUAUCUCCCAGUUCGGAUUGAAGUCUGCAACUCGACUUCAUGAAGUUGGAAUCGCUAGUAAUCGUGAAUCAGCAAUGUCACGGUGAAUACGUUCCCGGGUCUUGUACUCACCGCCC
This 511-nucleotide ribosomal RNA is filed under the name uncultured Campylobacterota bacterium. Its description in RNAcentral is "bacterial SSU rRNA". It matches the Rfam family "Bacterial small subunit ribosomal RNA", at positions 888 to 1395 of the family's 1533-position model. Lineage: Bacteria; Pseudomonadati; Campylobacterota. The record is from RNAcentral.